Molecule: ribosomal RNA, 566 nt
Filed under: uncultured Alphaproteobacteria bacterium
Lineage: Bacteria; Pseudomonadati; Pseudomonadota; Alphaproteobacteria
Description: bacterial SSU rRNA
Rfam family: Bacterial small subunit ribosomal RNA
Source: RNAcentral
AGCAACGCGCAGAACCUUACCUACCCUUGACAUGUCCAGUAUGAGCACCAGAGAUGGAGCUCUUCAGUUCGGCUGGCUGGAACACAGGUGCUGCAUGGCUGUCGUCAGCUCGUGUCGUGAGAUGUUGGGUUAAGUCCCGCAACGAGCGCAACCCUCGCUUCUAGUUGCCAUCAUUCAGUUGGGCACUCUAGAGGGACUGCCGGUGAUAAGCCGGAGGAAGGUGGGGAUGACGUCAAGUCCUCAUGGCCCUUACGGGUAGGGCUACACACGUGCUACAAUGGCGGUGACAGUGGGCAGCGACACAGUGAUGUGAUGCUAAUCCCAAAAAGCCGUCUCAGUUCAGAUUGCAGUCUGCAACUCGGCUGCAUGAAGUCGGAAUCGCUAGUAAUCGCUAAUCAGCAGGUAGCGGUGAAUACGUUCCCGGGCCUUGUACACACCGCCCGUCACACCAUGGGAGUUGGUCAUACCUGAAGACGGUGUUCUAACCCGCAAGGGAGGAAGCCGGCCACGGUAUGGUCAGCGACUGGGGUGAAGUCGUAACAAGGUAGCCGUAGGGGAACCUGCGG